GCAUAACGCGAAGAACCUUACCAGGUCUUGACAUCCCGCUGACCGCUAUGGAGACAUAGCCUUCCCUUCGGGGACAGCGGUGACAGGUGGUGCAUGGUUGUCGUCAGCUCGUGUCGUGAGAUGUUGGGUUAAGUCCCGCAACGAGCGCAACCCUUGAGAUUAGUUGCCAUCAUUCAGUUGGGCACUCUAAUCUGACUGCCGGUGAUAAACCGGAGGAAGGUGGGGAUGACGUCAAAUCAUCAUGCCCCUUAUGACCUGGGCUACACACGUGCUACAAUGGACGGUACAAACGGUUGCCAACCCGCGAGGGGGAGCCAAUCCGAUAAAACCGUUCUCAGUUCGGAUUGUAGGCUGCAACUCGCCUACAUGAAGCUGGAAUCGCUAGUAAUCGCGGAUCAGCAUGCCGCGGUGAAUACGUUCCCGGGUCUUGUACACACCG
This 439-nucleotide ribosomal RNA is filed under the name uncultured bacterium. RNAcentral describes it as "bacterial SSU rRNA". It matches the Rfam family "Bacterial small subunit ribosomal RNA", at positions 954 to 1392 of the family's 1533-position model. The record is from RNAcentral.